GGGGGUUUAGCUCAGUGGUAUAAGCGCCUGCCCUGCAAGCAGGAGGUCAUGAGUUCAAUCCCUG
RNAcentral lists this transfer RNA (64 nucleotides) under Cavia porcellus (domestic guinea pig). It matches the Rfam family "tRNA", at positions 1 to 62 of the family's 71-position model. From Rfam's summary of the family: Transfer RNA (tRNA) molecules are approximately 80 nucleotides in length. Lineage: Eukaryota; Metazoa; Chordata; Mammalia; Rodentia; Caviidae. The record is from Rfam by way of RNAcentral.